GAGUUUGAUCCUGGCUCAGGACGAACGCUGGCGGCGCGCCUAACACAUGCAAGUCGAACGAGAGAGAGGGAGCUUGCUUCCUUGAUCGAGUGGCGAACGGGUGAGUAACGCGUGAGGAACCUGCCUCAAAGAGGGGGACAACAGUUGGAAACGACUGCUAAUACCGCAUAAGCCCACGACCCGGCAUCGGGAAGAGGGAAAAGGAGCAAUCCGCUUUGAGAUGGCCUCGCGUCCGAUUAGCUAGUUGGUGAGGUAACGGCCCACCAAGGCGACGAUCGGUAGCCGGACUGAGAGGUUGAACGGCCACAUUGGGACUGAGACACGGCCCAGACUCCUACGGGAGGCAGCAGUGGGGAAUAUUGCACAAUGGGGGAAACCCUGAUGCAGCGACGCCGCGUGGAGGAAGAAGGUCUUCGGAUUGUAAACUCCUGUUGUUGAGGAAGAUAAUGACGGUACUCAACAAGGAAGUGGCGGCUAACUACGUGCCAGCCGCCGCGGUAAUAC
Molecule: ribosomal RNA, 504 nt
Filed under: uncultured bacterium
Lineage: Bacteria
Description: bacterial SSU rRNA
Rfam family: Bacterial small subunit ribosomal RNA
Source: RNAcentral